Molecule: ribosomal RNA, 807 nt
Filed under: uncultured eukaryote
Lineage: Eukaryota
Description: bacterial SSU rRNA
Rfam family: Bacterial small subunit ribosomal RNA
Source: RNAcentral
UGCUUUCACAUGCAAGUCGUACGAGAGUUUUUAAUUCAAGUGGCGGACGGGUGAGUAACACGUAAGAAUUUGCCUCUAGGAGGGGGACAACAACUGGAAACGGUUGCUAAUACCCCAUAUGCUUCCGAGUGAAAUGGAAUUUUCCGCCUAGAGAGAAGCUUGCGGCUGAUUAGCUUGUUGGUAAGGUAAUGGCUUACCAAGGCGACGAUCAGUAUCUGGUUUGAGAGGACGAUCAGACACACUGGAACUGAGACACGGUCCAGACUCCUACGGGAGGCAGCAGUGGGGAAUUUUCCGCAAUGGGCGAAAGCCUGACGGAGCAAUACCGCGUGAGGGAUGACGGCCUAUGGGUUGUAAACCUCUUUUUUCAGGGAGGAAUAAAAUGACGUGUACCUGAAGAAUAAGCAUCGGCUAACUCCGUGCCAGCAGCCGCGGUAAGACGGAGGAUGCAAGUGUUAUCCGGAAUCACUGGGCGUAAAGCGUCUGUAGGUGGUUUGAUAAGUCAGCUGUUAAAUCUUGAGGCUCAACCUCAAAACCGCAGUCGAAACUAUUAGACUAGAGUAUAGUAGGGGUAAAGGGAAUCUCCAGUGGAGCGGUGAAAUGCGUAGAGAUUGGAAAGAACACCGAUGGCGAAGGCACUUUACUGGGCUAUUACUGACACUCAGAGACGAAAGCUAGGGUAGCAAAUGGGAUUAGAUACCCCAGUAGUCCUAGCCGUAAACAAUGGAUACUAGAUGUUGAACAGAUCGACCUGUGCAGUAUUAAAGCUAACGCGUUAAGUAUCCCGCCUGGGAAGUAUGCUCCCAA